UACGGAGGGUGCGAGCGUUAACCGGAAUUAUUGGGCGUAAAGCGCGCGUAGGCGGCUAUGUAAGCCGGUUGUGAAAGCCCCGAGCUCAACCUGGGAAUGGCAUCCGGAACUGUUUAGCUAGAGUUAAAAAGAGGAAGGUAGAAUUCGCGGUGUAGCGGUGAAAUGCGUAGAGAUCGGGAGGAAUACCAGUGGCGAAGGCGGCCUUCUGGUCUGACACUGACGCUGAGGUGCGAAAGCGUGGGUAGCAAACAGG
This 253-nucleotide unclassified non-coding RNA is filed under the name uncultured Halomonadaceae bacterium. RNAcentral describes it as "contains 16S-23S intergenic spacer region". It matches the Rfam family "Bacterial small subunit ribosomal RNA", at positions 524 to 776 of the family's 1533-position model. The record is from RNAcentral. Lineage: Bacteria; Pseudomonadati; Pseudomonadota; Gammaproteobacteria; Oceanospirillales; Halomonadaceae.